GGAAUUGUUAUAUGUCAUAAGAUGUUACUCUUCUGAUUUUUUUCAGAUGUUUAAAAAUAUUGGGCUGGGGGGUAUAGCUUAGUGGUAGAACAUUUACCUAGCAGUGGCCUGACACCAUAAAAGAAGAGGGGAAAAAUCAUUCUGAAUUAAAGGAUCAUACCAAAUUGAGCAGCAGACCAGGUUUGGACUGUGACUACAGUUUGACAACCCCUGGUGUAGAUCUGUAAUGUCCAAUAGCCGCCUAGCCCUGUGUGGCAGUCUUGAUCACUGGAAAAGUGGUGAAUCUGGGUUGUGUUCCAAGUGCUCAGUAUACACUGGUUUUCAAAGACAGUCCACAAAACAAGUAAAAUAUCCCAAUCAUUGUUUUUGUGGCUUUUAUGUCAAAGUGAUAAUAUUUUUGAAUAGAUUAAAUUAAAAAUAUUACUAUAAUGAAUUUCACUUGUUUCUUUUUUACCUUCUAAUUGUCUCUAAUAGUUUUUGUCUCACUGUGUUCCCCAAGCUGGCCUCUAACUUGUAGGCUUCAGUGAUCCUCCCACCUCACUCUUCCAAGAAGCUGGGACUACUGCCAUGUGGCUGGCCUAAUAAUUUUGUAAUGUAGCUACUAGAACAAUUUAUUUAUUUAAAAAAUUUGUUUUGAGCCAGAGCGGUGGUGCACACCUAUAAUCCCAGCACUCAGGAAGCUGAGGCAGGAGGAUCCCAAGUUCAAGGCUAGUCUCAGCAGUUUAGUGGGCCCCUAAGCAACUUAGCAAGACCUUGUCUCAAAACAAAACAUUAAAAGACCUGGGGAUGUAGCCCAGUGGUAAAGCACCCCUGGGUUUAAUCCACAGUACCAAAAAAAAUUUGUUUUUUCUUUUGAGAUAGGGCUUCACUGUGUUGUCCAGGCUGCUCCUGAAUUCCUGGGCUCAAGGGAUCCUCCUGUCUCACCUCCUGAGUAGCUGGGACUGUAGGUGUGUGCUGUGGUGCUGAGUUAGAACAUUCUAAAUUGUUCACAUUUGCACUUGUGGCUUGGGUACUGUCUCUGUCAUAUAGGGCUGCUCCAGAAGUGAGGCUGGAGGGCCGUGUGUGAUAGGAC
This 1072-nucleotide long non-coding RNA is filed under the name Marmota monax (woodchuck). Lineage: Eukaryota; Metazoa; Chordata; Mammalia; Rodentia; Sciuridae. The record is from RNAcentral.